This 261-nucleotide ribosomal RNA is filed under the name uncultured bacterium. RNAcentral describes it as "partial 16S ribosomal RNA". It matches the Rfam family "Bacterial small subunit ribosomal RNA", at positions 1244 to 1500 of the family's 1533-position model. The record is from RNAcentral.
GGGAGGCGAGAGCGUGAGCUUAAGCGAACCCCAAAAACUAAACGUCCCAGUUCGGAUUGCAGCCUGCAACUCGGCUGCAUGAAGCUGGAAUCGCUAGUAAUCGCGGAUCAGAAUGCCGCGGUGAAUACGUUCCCGGGUCUUGUACACACCGCCCGUCACACCAUGGGAGUCGGGAACGCCCGAAGCCGGUGACCGAACCCUAACGGGGAGGAGCCGUCGAAGGCGGGCCUGGUGACUGGGGUGAAGUCGUAACAAGGUACC